This 253-nucleotide ribosomal RNA is filed under the name uncultured bacterium. Its description in RNAcentral is "partial 16S ribosomal RNA". It matches the Rfam family "Bacterial small subunit ribosomal RNA", at positions 524 to 776 of the family's 1533-position model. The record is from RNAcentral.
GACAGAGGUGCCAAGCGUUAGGCGGAAUCACUGGGCUUAAAGCGUGUGUAGGCGGAAUGGUAAGUACCUUGUGAAAUCCCACGGCUUAACCGUGGAACUGCUUGGUAUACUGGCGGUCUUGAGCCAGCUAGGGGCUACCGGAACAAAUGGUGGAGCGGUGAAAUGCGUAGAUAUCAUUUGGAACGCCAAUGGUGAAAACAGGUAGCUGGGGCUGUGCUGACGCUGAGACACGAAAGCCAGGGGAGCAAACGGG